GACGCACUCUGGCGGCGUGCUUAACACAUGCAAGUCGAACGCUGAAGCUGGGUGCUUGCACCUGGUGGAUGAGUGGCGAACGGGUGAGUAAUACGUGAGUGACCUUCCUUGGACUCUGGGAUAAGCCCGGGAAACUGGGUCUAAUACCGGAUACGACCAGUCCUCGCAUGGGGUGCUGGUGGAAAGGGUUUGUACUGGCUCUUGAUGGGCUCACGUCCUAUCAGCUUGUUGGUGAGGUAAUGGCUUACCAAGGCGACGACGGGUAGCCGGCCUGAGAGGGUGACCGGCCACACUGGGACUGAGACACGGCCCAGACUCCUACGGGAGGCAGCAGUGGGGAAUAUUGCACAAUGGGCGCAAGCCUGAUGCAGCGACGCCGCGUGGGGGAUGACGGCCUUCGGGUUGUAAACCUCUUUCAGCAGGGAAGAAGCGAAAGUGACGGUACCUGCAGAAGAAGCGCCGGCUAACUACGUGCCAGCAGCCGCGGUAAUACGUAGGGCGCAAGCGUUGUCCGGAAUUAUUGGGCGUAAAGAGCUCGUAGGCGGUUUGUCGCGUCUGCUGUGAAAGCCCGGGGCUCAACCCCGGGUGUGCAGUGGGUACGGGCAGGCUGGAGUGCAGUAGGGGAGACUGGAAUUCCUGGUGUAGCGGUGAAAUGCGCAGAUAUCAGGAGGAACACCGAUGGCGAAGGCAGGUCUCUGGGCUGUUACUGACGCUGAGGAGCGAAAGCAUGGGGAGCGAACAGGAUUAGAUACCCUGGUAGUCCAUGCCGUAAACGUUGGGCACUAGGUGUGGGGGACAUUCCACGUUUUCCGCGCCGUAGCUAACGCAUUAAGUGCCCCGCCUGGGGAGUACGGCCGCAAGGCUAAAACUCAAAGGAAUUGACGGGGGCCCGCACAAGCGGCGGAGCAUGCGGAUUAAUUCGAUGCAACGCGAAGAACCUUACCAAGGCUUGACAUACACCGGAUCGCAGCAGAGAUGUUGUUUCCCUUCGGGGCUGGUGUACAGGUGGUGCAUGGUUGUCGUCAGCUCGUGUCGUGAGAUGUUGGGUUAAGUCCCGCAACGAGCGCAACCCUCGUUCUAUGUUGCCAGCACGUUGUGGUGGGGACUCAUAGGAGACUGCCGGGGUCAACUCGGAGGAAGGUGGGGAUGACGUCAAAUCAUCAUGCCCCUUAUGUCUUGGGCUUCACGCAUGCUACAAUGGCCGGUACAAUGGGUUGCGAUACUGUGAGGUGGAGCUAAUCCCAAAAAGCCGGUCUCAGUUCGGAUUGGGGUCUGCAACUCGACCCCAUGAAGUCGGAGUCGCUAGUAAUCGCAGAUCAGCAACGCUGCGGUGAAUACGUUCCCGGGCCU
RNAcentral lists this ribosomal RNA (1350 nucleotides) under uncultured bacterium. RNAcentral describes it as "bacterial SSU rRNA". It matches the Rfam family "Bacterial small subunit ribosomal RNA", at positions 28 to 1381 of the family's 1533-position model. The record is from RNAcentral.